Molecule: ribosomal RNA, 774 nt
Filed under: uncultured Neocallimastigales
Lineage: Eukaryota; Fungi; Neocallimastigomycota; Neocallimastigomycetes; Neocallimastigales
Description: partial large subunit ribosomal RNA
Rfam family: Eukaryotic large subunit ribosomal RNA
Source: RNAcentral
UAUCUCUGUAGAGUCUGCAUAUCAAUAAGCGGAGGAAAAGAAACUAACUAGGAUUCCCUCAGUAACGGCGAGUGAAGCGGGAAGAGCUCAAAUUUGAAAUCUUCAAGGUUCUACCUUGACGAAUUGUAGUUUAAAGAAGUGUUUUCUGUUGGAGUUUUGGUAAAAGCUCUUUGGAAUAGGACAUCAUAGAGGGUGAGAAUCCCGUAUUUGACCAUUAUUUCCAACUUUGUGAUACACUUUCAAAGAGUCGGAUUGUUUGGGAAUGCAGUCCAAAAUGGGUGGUAAAUUUCAUCUAAAGCUAAAUACUGGCGAGAGACCGAUAGCGAACAAGUACCGUGAGGGAAAGAUGAAAAGAACUUUGAAAAGAGAGUUAAACAGUACGUGAAAUUGUCAAAAGGGAAGCGUUUGACACCAGUGUUGUUUUCUCGAAAAUCAAUUAAAAAUGGCGGGAUUUUGUGUUGUAUUGACUUUAUCAGCUUUCUGCACUUUUUUCCUGUCUUUUUUAAUGCACUUUUCGUUUAACAAGUCAACAUCAGUUUCUUUUGUUGUAAAAGGGUAUGAGGAAGGUGGCUUUCUUUUCGGAGAAAGUGUUUAUAGCCUUUGUACCUCUGCAAUCGGAGAGAUUGAGGUCUGCAGCGUAGAUCCUUCGGGGUUAGAUACACUUGUGCUAAGUUAUAGCCUUUCAUAGACAACUUGUUGACUAUGAUCAGUCAUGUAGCUUACUCGCUUAUGCUAUUUUACCUACGCUUAGGAUGUUGAUGUGAUACUGCGAGC